RNAcentral lists this ribosomal RNA (468 nucleotides) under uncultured bacterium. RNAcentral's name for it is "partial 16S ribosomal RNA". It matches the Rfam family "Bacterial small subunit ribosomal RNA", at positions 28 to 507 of the family's 1533-position model. The record is from RNAcentral.
GAUGAACGCUGGCGGCGUGCUUAACACAUGCAAGUCGAACGGAAAGGCCCUGAUUUUGUUGGGUGCUCGUGUGGCGCACGGGUGAGUAAAACGCGUGUAACCUGUCCUUGUCUUUGGGAUAACUUCAGGAAACUGGGGCUAAUAUAGGAGAGGAGCUCCUGCUGCAUGGUGGUGGUUGGUAAGUUUCGGCGGUUGUGGAUGGACUCGCGGGUUAUCCGCUUGUUGGUGGGGUAGUGGCUUAACAAGUUUUUGACGGGUAGGCGGCCUGAGCGGGGGGCCGGCCACCAUGGUCCUAAGAUAGGGCCCAGACUGCAACGGGCGGCAACAGUGGGGAAUAUUGCGCAAUGGGCUCACGCCAGUUGCGACGACCCCGCGUGCGGGAAGACGGCCUUUGGGUUGUAAACCGCUUUCGCCUGAGCCGAAGCGGGAGUGACGGUAAUGGGUAAAGAAGCACCGGCUAACUACGUG